RNAcentral lists this ribosomal RNA (119 nucleotides) under Lepisosteus oculatus (spotted gar). The record is from RNAcentral. Lineage: Eukaryota; Metazoa; Chordata; Actinopteri; Semionotiformes; Lepisosteidae.
GCCAGCAGCCAUGUCACCCUGCAACUUACAAUUGGCAGCCCACUGAAGCUAAGCAGGUGUGAGCCUGGUCAGUACCUGGACGGGAGACCUCCUGGGAAAAACUAAAGUUGCUGCUGGAA